UUUCCGUAGGUGAACCUGCGGAAGGAUCAUUAUUGUAUAACCGAGGUGCGAGGGCUGUCGCUGACCCGAAAGGUCGUGCACGCCCGAGUGCCCUCACACACAUCCAUCUCACCCCUCUGUGCACCUCCGCGUGGGUCCCCCUUUGGCUUGUUCGGAGGGGGGCUUGCGUUGUCACACAAACUUUGUAUGCAGUGUAGAAUGUAUUUUUUGUUUUUGCGAUCACGCAAUCAAUACAACUUUCAACAACGGAUCUCUUGGCUCUC
Molecule: unclassified non-coding RNA, 263 nt
Filed under: plant metagenome
Description: partial contains small subunit ribosomal RNA, internal transcribed spacer 1, and 5.8S ribosomal RNA
Source: RNAcentral